GACGAACGCUGGCGGCGUGCUUAACACAUGCAAGUCGAACGAUGAAGCCCAGCUUGCUGGGUGGAUUAGUGGCGAACGGGUGAGUAAUACGUGAGUAACCUGCCUUUAACUCUGGGAUAAGCCUUGGAAACGGGGUCUAAUACUGGAUACGACCAACCCUCGCAUGGGGUGUUGGUGGAAAGGGAUUUUGUACUGGUUUUAGAUGGGCUCACGGCCUAUCAGCUUGUUGGUGAGGUAACGGCUCACCAAGGCGACGACGGGUAGCCGGCCUGAGAGGGUGACCGGCCACACUGGGACUGAGACACGGCCCAGACUCCUACGGGAGGCAGCAGUGGGGAAUAUUGCACAAUGGGCGCAAGCCUGAUGCAGCGACGCCGCGUGAGGGAUGACGGCCUUCGGGUUGUAAACCUCUUUCAGCAGGGGAGAAGCGAAAGUGACGGUACCUGCAGAAGAAGCGCCGGCUAACUACGUGCCAGCAGCCGCGGUAAUACGUAGGGCGCGAGCGUUGUCCGGAAUUAUUGGGCGUAAAGAGCUUGUAGGCGGUUUGUCGCGUCUGCUGUGAAAGCCCGGGGCUUAACCCCGGGUUUGCAGUGGGUACGGGCAGACUAGAGUGCAGUAGGGGAGACUGGAAUUCCUGGUGUAGCGGUGAAAUGCGCAGAUAUCAGGAGGAACACCAAUGGCGAAGGCAGGUCUCUGGGCUGUAACUGACGCUGAGAAGCGAAAGCAUGGGGAGCAAACAGGAUUAGAUACCCUGGUAGUCCAUGCCGUAAACGUUGGGCACUAGGUGUGGGGAACAUUCCACGUUUUCCGCGCCGUAGCUAACGCAUUAAGUGCCCCGCCUGGGGAGUACGGCCGCAAGGCUAAAACUCAAAGAAAUUGACGGGGGCCCGCACAAGCGGCGGAGCAUGCGGAUUAAUUCGAUGCAACGCGAAGAACCUUACCAAGGCUUGACAUAUACUAGACCGCCUCAGAGAUGGGGUUUCCCUUCGGGGCUGGUAUACAGGUGGUGCAUGGUUGUCGUCAGCUCGUGUCGUGAGAUGUUGGGUUAAGUCCCGCAACGAGCGCAACCCUCGUUCUAUGUUGCCAGCACGUAAUGGUGGGGACUCAUAGGAGACUGCCGGGGUUAACUCGGAGGAAGGUGGGGAUGACGUCAAAUCAUCAUGCCCCUUAUGUCUUGGGCUUCACGCAUGCUACAAUGGCCGGUACAAAGGGUUGCGAUACUGUGAGGUUGAGCUAAUCCCAAAAAGCCGGUCUCAGUUCGGAUUGGGGUCUGCAACUCGACCCCAUGAAGUCGGAGUCGCUAGUAAUCGCAGAUCAGCAACGCUGCGGUGAAUACGUUCCCGGGCCU
Molecule: ribosomal RNA, 1348 nt
Filed under: uncultured bacterium
Lineage: Bacteria
Description: bacterial SSU rRNA
Rfam family: Bacterial small subunit ribosomal RNA
Source: RNAcentral